CUCACUGCUCAAUAUUUUUGCCAUUUAGGAGUUAAAUCAAUUUCUGUUGAUGCAGCCCUAGCCACCAAGAACAUUGUUUUAUUUUCAAUCAGAUGUUAAAUUACUUUAGACAUUUUGUCUCCUGCUUUGUAAAUUGAACUUUAAUCACAAACGGGUGGCUUCUGCAACAUCAAGCAAGCUAUUAACAGUGCAUGAGAAAUUUUUUAACUAAACAGACUGUGCAAUAAAGUAAGUAUAAACAUUAGAGAACUCUUUACAGGAAGUGUUUAGGAAGGCUGUGUAAGUCACAUACAGGGAGGUGUGGCUAGGGCUGCAUGAACAAAGUGAUUAAUCUCCUAAACGGCAGAGAAUUGAGCAGUGAGACUGCAGGGGCAUGGUCUAUACACCAAAACUGUUUCAUUGAGAUAAGGUUGUUUUGGUGACUAUAGUGUCUCGUUAAGCAAGAUUGUGCAUUUAUACUGUUUAACUACAACUCUUAUUUUAUAUUUUGGUACUGUUUCUGUUGAAAAUUCAGUGUCUACCAAUCUAACCUGCCUUAAAAGUUUGACAAGAAAAAAAAAGACAGUGCCACUUUACUAUGUGAAUUAUGCAAUGUUUGGGAGAUAUAGAAAUUAAAGGGACACUAUAGUCACCUGAACAACUUUAGCUUAAUUAAGCAGUUUUGGUGUAUAGAACAUGC
This is a non-coding RNA of Pelobates cultripes (western spadefoot toad), 679 nucleotides long. The record is from the annotation of a GenBank genome assembly. Lineage: Eukaryota; Metazoa; Chordata; Amphibia; Anura; Pelobatidae.